RNAcentral lists this unclassified non-coding RNA (352 nucleotides) under uncultured fungus. Its description in RNAcentral is "sequence contains ITS1". The stretch from base 1 to 105 matches the Rfam family "5.8S ribosomal RNA", at positions 50 to 154 of the family's 154-position model. Lineage: Eukaryota; Fungi. The record is from RNAcentral.
GAAAUGCGAUAACUAAUGUGAAUUGCAGAACUACGUGAAUCAUCGAGUCUUUGAACGCAUAUUGCACCCUGUGGUAUUCCGCAGGGUAUGCCUGUUUGAGUGUCAGUAAAUAACCUCAAGCCUUUAUUGGUUUGGAUUUGAGUGUGUAGUUUGUCAAAGCUACUCGCUUUAAAAGCAUCGGUGAGCAGUUUGAAUUUGGGUUCGGAUGCUCUUAACUUGACAAGGACUUUUAGUUCGCGUUAGUUAAUCAUUCUUACCUGUGAACUGUUAACUUGCCUUAGAUUAUUUACCCUGAGUUUUCGGACUCUUGUAACUUGACCUCAAAUCAGGUAGGAUUACCCGCUGAACUUAA